Molecule: ribosomal RNA, 861 nt
Filed under: uncultured bacterium
Lineage: Bacteria
Description: bacterial SSU rRNA
Rfam family: Bacterial small subunit ribosomal RNA
Source: RNAcentral
CGGUAAUACGGAGGGUGCAAGCGUUAAUCGGAAUUACUGGGCGUAAAGCGUGCGUAGGUGGUUUGUUAAGUUAGAUGUGAAAGCCCUGGGCUCAACCUAGGAACUGCAUUUAAAACUGGCGAACUAGAGUAUAGGAGAGGAAAGUGGAAUUUCAGGUGUAGCGGUGAAAUGCGUAGAUAUCUGAAGGAACAUCAAUGGCGAAGGCAGCUUUCUGGACUAAUACUGACACUGAGGUACGAAAGCGUGGGUAGCAAACAGGAUUAGAUACCCUGGUAGUCCACGCCGUAAACGAUGACAACUAGCCGUUGGGAGGAUUUACCUCUUAGUGGCGAAGCUAACGCGUUAAGUUGUCCGCCUGGGGAGUACGGCCGCAAGGCUAAAACUCAAAGGAAUUGACGGGGACCCGCACAAGCGGUGGAGCAUGUGGUUUAAUUCGAUGCAACGCGAAGAACCUUACCUGGUCUUGACAUACACGGAACUUUCCAGAGAUGGAUUGGUGCCUUCGGGAACCGUGAUACAGGUGCUGCAUGGCUGUCGUCAGCUCGUGUCGUGAGAUGUUGGGUUAAGUCCCGUAACGAGCGCAACCCUCAUCCUUAUUUGCCAGCACAUCAUGGUGGGAACUAUAAGGAGACUGCCGGUGAUAAACCGGAGGAAGGCGGGGACGACGUCAAGUCAUCAUGGCCCUUACGACCAGGGCUACACACGUGCUACAAUGGGAAGGACAAAGGGUCGCAACCUCGCGAGAGCAAGCUAAUCUCAUAAACCUUUUCGUAGUCCGGAUCGGAGUCUGCAACUCGACUCCGUGAAGUCGGAAUCGCUAGUAAUCGUGGAUCAGAAUGCCACGGUGAAUACGUUCCCGGG